CCUAAUAAUUCUGCACUCCCUGUAGACUCCAAUUUUUCCUGUUAAGGAGUCGUCGUCUUCAUACAGUAAGGUUAAUUAUGGAGUUCCACAGGGCUCUAUGCUUAGGCUAAUUGUAUGUACAUUAUGCCUGCUUUCUUUAGGAAGUGUCAUUAGAAUUCAUUAUUAUCAGGAUGUCCUAAAAACUCCCCGAAAAGCCUUCAGAUGAUCCAAAAUCCUGCAGCAAGAGUACUGACAGUACUGACAAAGAAACUUGAGGCCACUGCUGUUAAGAUUUGGCACUGUAUAAAUAAAAUAGAAUUGAAUUGGUUCAUCACACUUAACUCCAAACUGAAAACCAAAAUCAUCACUUAGUCUUUUAUUUCGUAGACAGUUUCUCCAUAAUUUCCAUAGUUGGACAGUUUGUUGUUUCUGUGCCUCUCAUCACUGUUCUUUUGUCAACAGUUGGCGAGACUGUACUUGCAGAGGGACAGUCUGGUACUGAGGUACAUAGCUGGUACACCUUGUCACUCACUGUAAAAGGACAGUAUGCAUCAGGGUCACUGAAUGGAUACCCUCUGUGGAAGAAUGCUGUGAUACUGACCCCAAAGGCUGGCUGGGCUGCCAUAGGAACACGCUCGUUUGAACUGGCCCAGUUUGAUAACUUUGCUUUGGUGGCUGAGUGAUGAAUUAACUUUAAAUCAUGAUUUACACUAUGCUGAAUGUCCUGAUUCAUUUAUGGACUUGAUUAGUACUUUACAGCCGAUAGCUUCAAGCAUAAUAAUGAUGUUGUGUGUAAAAUUUUGGGCGAUGUAUUGACAGAAAUGGGUUAUAGUAUUUAAUUACCAUGUAAUUAUGCAUCACUGUGGUUUUUUUUUGUUGGAAUGAUCCUGUCAUAUCAAACCUCAGUCCUGAACAGAAAUUAAUGUCUUUCUACAGCUCACAGCCAACAAAACACUGGUUUAAGACCUUUCUUUGAAGAGAUGCCAAGACUUCAAGAUAAGGCUGGAAUUGUUUUGGGGCAUAACUUGUAGUGAAUCGUGUGUUUGUAGCACAUCAGAAUCCAUCACACUUGUACAGGAUGAGCCUUAUAGCCUGGUGUUAGAAUCAAAUGACCAUAUUAGUAUUUGGUGUUAGCCGUGUAGUUGGCUUGUCACUACCAUAGGAGCAUCCCUCAGUUCCCUCAAUGGGCUCCACCCCUCAUUUGUUGCAUCUAUUUUCAAAACAGCUAAGUUUCAACACACCACGCUUCUUGGAAAUAAUACUUAAUGUCUUGGUGGUUUCCUCCAUCUCCAUCUUUUUAUAUACAGUGUAUGUGGAGGAAAAAAAUAUAUCAUAUGGCACUGAAUCCUGGAACUUUGUUUGAUGUGAUUGUAAAUGAUUUUAUAGUUUGACUUUAUAUUGUCUUAACUGCUUUGAAUAAAUCAAAUAGAAAGCCAA
This is a long non-coding RNA of Pundamilia nyererei, 1416 nucleotides long. RefSeq lists it as uncharacterized. Lineage: Eukaryota; Metazoa; Chordata; Actinopteri; Cichliformes; Cichlidae. The transcript has 2 exons. The record is from RefSeq and is a predicted model, not a curated record.